This 777-nucleotide ribosomal RNA is filed under the name uncultured bacterium. RNAcentral's name for it is "bacterial SSU rRNA". It matches the Rfam family "Bacterial small subunit ribosomal RNA", at positions 8 to 796 of the family's 1533-position model. The record is from RNAcentral.
AGAGUUUGAUCCUGGCUCAGGAUGAACGCUGGCGGCGUGCUUAACACAUGCAAGUCGAACGGUGAACACGGAGCUUGCUCUGUGGGAUCAGUGGCGAACGGGUGAGUAACACGUGAGCAACCUGCCCCUGACUCUGGGAUAAGCGCUGGAAACGGCGUCUAAUACUGGAUAUGUGACGUGACCGCAUGGUCUGCGUCUGGAAAGAAUUUCGGUUGGGGAUGGGCUCGCGGCCUAUCAGCUUGUUGGUGAGGUAAUGGCUCACCAAGGCGUCGACGGGUAGCCGGCCUGAGAGGGUGACCGGCCACACUGGGACUGAGACACGGCCCAGACUCCUACGGGAGGCAGCAGUGGGGAAUAUUGCACAAUGGGCGCAAGCCUGAUGCAGCAACGCCGCGUGAGGGACGACGGCCUUCGGGUUGUAAACCUCUUUUAGCAGGGAAGAAGCGAAAGUGACGGUACCUGCAGAAAAAGCGCCGGCUAACUACGUGCCAGCAGCCGCGGUAAUACGUAGAGCGCAAGCGUUAUCCGGAAUUAUUGGGCGUAAAGAGCUCGUAGGCGGUUUGUCGCGUCUGCUGUGAAAUCCGGAGGCUCAACCUCCGGCCUGCAGUGGGUACGGGCAGACUAGAGUGCGGUAGGGGAGAUUGGAAUUCCUGGUGUAGCGGUGGAAUGCGCAGAUAUCAGGAGGAACACCGAUGGCGAAGGCAGAUCUCUGGGCCGUAACUGACGCUGAGGAGCGAGAGGGUGGGGAGCAAACAGGCUUAGAUACCCUGGUAGUCC